GAGGACCAGGGAGCCGCAGGGGCUUUCACCCCUGAGGAAGGUCCGGACUCCACAGGGCAGGCCGCUCGGGGAAACCCGAGAGGGGGCGACCCCUGGAAAGUGCCACAGAAAACAGACCGCCAGCGGCCCCUCCACUAUCUCACCGGCAUCCGUGGAGGGGUGCGGGCAAGGGUGAAACGGUGGGGUAAGAGCCCACCGCCGGGGCCGCGAGGUUCCCGGGCACGGCAAACCCCGGCCGGAGCAAGGCCAAAUAGGGGGGCGGUUGAGGGUGGCCCGCCCGAUGCCCCCGGGUAGGCCGCCAAGAUGGAUGGCUCCCUUAAACACAGAAUCCGGCCUAUGGGCCUCU
This 346-nucleotide RNase P RNA is filed under the name marine eukaryotic metagenome. Its description in RNAcentral is "Bacterial RNase P class A". It matches the Rfam family "Bacterial RNase P class A". Rfam says of the family: Ribonuclease P (RNase P) is a ubiquitous endoribonuclease, found in archaea, bacteria and eukarya as well as chloroplasts and mitochondria. Its best characterised activity is the generation of mature 5'-ends of tRNAs by cleaving the 5'-leader elements of precursor-tRNAs. The record is from RNAcentral.